GGUAGAGUGGAGCCUAGUGGUUAGAGUGGAGGGGCGGCAGGGUAGCCUAGUGGUUAGAGUGGAGGGGCGGCAGGGUAGCCUAGUGGUUAGAGUGGAGGGGCGGCAGGGUAGCCUAGUGGUUAGAGUGGAGGGGCGGCAGGGUAGCCUAGUGGUUAGAGUGGAGGGGCGGCAGGGUGGCCUAGUGGUUAGAGUGGUGGGGCGGCAGGGUGGCCUAGUGGUUAGAGUGGAGGGGCGGCAGGGUGGCCUAGUGGUUAGAGCGGAGGGGCGGCAGGGUGGCCUAGUGGUUAGAGCGGAGGGGCGGCAGGGUGGCCUAGUGGUUAGAGCGGAGGGGCGGCAGGGUGGCCUAGUGGUUAGAGCGGAGGGGCGGCAGGGUGGCCUAGUGGUUAGAGCGGAGGGGCGGCAGGGUGGCCUAGUGGUUAGAGCGGAGGGGCGGCAGGGUGGCCUAGUGGUUAGAGGGGCGGCGGGUGGGGGCGGCAGGGUGGCCUAGUGGUUAGAGCGGAGGGGCGGCAGGGUAGCCUAGUGGUUAGAGUGAAGGGGCGGCAGGGUAGCCUAGUGGUUAGAGCGUUGGACUAGUAACCGGAAGGUUGCAAGUUCAAACCCCCGAGCUGACAAGGUACAAAUCUGUUGUUCUGCCCCCUGAACAGGCAGUUAACCCACUGUUCCUAGGCUGUCAUUGUAAAUAAGAAUUUGUUCUUAACUGACUUGCCUAGUUAAAUAAAGGUUACAAUUAUUAUUAUUUUGAAUACGACGUCAGUGUUAAAGUUGUUUCUGUUACAUUGUGUAUGGGUUCGUAAGGCAUUAUUGUUAAAUUAUAUAUAUGUGUUGCCCAACUCUGGUCCUCGAGUUACUCCAGCAGAACAUGUUUUUUUUUUUUGUCGUAGCCCCAGACAAAAACCACCUGAUUCAACUUGUCAAGGGUUAGUUGACAGGUGGGCUUGUCCGGGUCCACAACGGAAAAAUAUGUACUAUUGAGCGUACUCAAGGACCGGAGUUGGACAACGCUGUGAUAUAUGAUGGAAGAUUUAAUGCAUGUUGAGGUAGCAUAGGUCUUACACUGCCACUACUACUUGCAACAGUCCCUCUAGUCUAACGAAAACCCGUCUCAGAGUUAGACCGGUGUUUUAUCGUUACGAAGUGAACAGUGCUACUGUGUAGAAACCGUAAUGCUGUCAACUUAAAUUGAGCACCAGAGUCUUUUUAAUUCCACUUAAGGAACUGAAUACCUAGACCGCUAUAUCAGGACAGGGAACUUAAAGUACACUUCCUGUAUUCAAUCAACAACUCUGUAAAUACUGGGCUACACGAGUAAACAAAGCCAUUGUUUGUAUGAGCCUGAUCCCAGAUCUGUUUGUUCUGUUUGGCUAAUUCCUAUUGUUUAUCUAUGGUGCUAAACAUAAGUGUUUUCAAGAUGGGACUAACAAGUCUAGGAUCAGGUUAGGACACGGCCAGGGGAUAUUCUGAUGCUGAGAAGGACAAUGACAAACCAUUCCAUACAGUUCGCUAAACUGAGUAAAAAAUAAAUUUAAAAAAGUUAUUACUGUAUCUAUUUUCGACAUUUAUGGAGAGAGUUAAUAUACGAUAGUAAGCAUCCAUGCACUAAGCUGAAAUCUGUGUGUUGUUUAUGGUAUACACCAGAGAGAUUCAUUUUUUUUCUUUUUACUUCUAAAACAUAAGAUAAGAUGAGACCCUACUUGAAAUGCUGUGCUUGUCUGUGAGCUGAGCAGAUGACUUUACCAUUCAACGGCUGUCUGUUUGUUCUUAAAGCACUUGGACCAAAACUAGUCUCUCUUGGCAGACUCGUACAGUGGGAAAGAGACCAAAACUAGUCUCUCUUGGCAGACUCGUACAGUGGCUGUGGGAAAGAGACCAAAACUAUUUCCCCUGGAACCAUUCAAACGUGUUGAAUAGUUACUGACUGUUGUUCAGUGUAAAGUCAUGUUGCUGUGCUGUUCUGUUCUCUUAGUGUAGUCUUUUUAAACCGUUUUUGCAAUGGUUUAUGGGUGAUUCCUGAUUGAUUUAUUUUGUUUUAUUAUUUCUUUUGCAACUUGUGUUUUGUUGGUCAAAUUACGGAGAAGAAAAAAAAAGCAAAGUUUUAAAAAAUGUGAAUAUUUUGAUGACAGAUCUAGUAAACAGGAAGACUGUUGCCAUGUGUCGUUGGCCUAUGGAACAGCUGUGCCCUGAGGUACUAGGAUAGGAUGUACUCUCUUCUGGCCAGCCAUGUGGGUCAGAUGACAGGCCUGGGUAGGGUUGACUGAGACCACAAACACCACGGGUCUAUUAAGCUAAGUAGGAUUCAACCAUUUGUGAUGCUGCAUGUGUCACACAUAGACCUGACAUGAUUCCCUCUUCCACUCAGCAGAGGAGAAUGUCUGCACAGGGCACAUUUCUCUCUGAAUGUUCUGCAAUGCAGUCUCCUGGAUAAGUGAUAACUUCUGAGUUCAGGGGUGUUUUCUUCUACUGGAGUUUGGCAUCCCGAGUGGCACACUGGUCUAAGACACUGUAUCUCAGUGCAAGAGGUGUCACUUGCAGUACCUGGUUUGAAUCCAGGCUGCAUCACAUCUGGCUGUGAUUGGGAGUCUUGAUAGAAAGGUGCAUAAUUGGGCCAGCGUGGUCUGGGGUAGGCCGUCAUUGUAAAUAAGAAUUUGUUCUUAACUGACUUGCCUAGUUAAAAAAAUAAAAGUCUAUUCCCUGAUGUGCACAUGGUAGCCUGCCUAUGACAGUGAGAUGGACUCUAAUAUCAAGUCCCUCUGUCCACUAUGACCAACUACAUGCCCCAGACUCCCUUUGGAUGGAUAAAUCUCAAACCGACCAACCCAGAGACAAAUAUUCAGAAACCCUCUACAAACUAUUUUAAACACAUGGCUCUGAACCAACUCCCCCUCUCUCUUCUCUCUCUCUCUCCCCCAUCUCCCACUCUCUCUCUCUCGCUCUUUCUCUCUCUCUCCCCCUAUCUCUCUCUUUCUCUCUCUCUCUCUCUCUCUCUUUCUCUCUCCCCCCUCUCUCUCUCUCUCUCUUUCUUUCUCUCUCUCUCUCCCCCCUCUCCCUCUCUCUCUCCCUCUCUCUCUUUCUCUCUCGCUCUUUCUCUCUCCCCCUCUCUCUCUCUCUCUCUCUCCCUCUCUCUCUUUCUCUCUCGCUCUUUCUCUCCCCCACUCUUUCUCUCUCGCUCUUUCUCUCUCCCCCUCUCUCUCUCUCUCUCUUUCUCCCCCUCUCCCUCUCUCUCUCUCGCUCUUUCUCUCUCCCCCCUCUUUCUCUCUCUCUUUCUCUCUCCCCUCUCUCUUUCUCUCUCUCCCCCUCUCUCUCUCUCUUUCUUUAUCUCUCUCUCUCUCCCCCCCUCUCUCUCUCCAGCCCAUAGGAAUAGAAUUACUGUACUAUUCUAAUUCUAGUAAUUCCCCUGCUAUACCCAGGCCACUGAUUAUGAUUAGUGGUAGUCAUGCGUUAGGAAAAACAGUGAUCUGCAAUGUUCUGGACGAUGAGCCACUUACUUCCAGAGAUCAACUGGCGAAAAAGCUGGUUUAUCCUCUAACUCUCUACCCUCUGAACGAUGCCCCUGGCUUGCUCCACCACGUGAUCACAUUCACCACAGCAGCACUGGAGAGACGGGAAAGAGAGAGAGGGAGACAGAGAGUAGCACUGAAUAGAGGGGGGGAGUGGGAAGAGCGAGUGGGAGGGAGAGAGAGAGAGAGGGGAGAGACAGAGAUCAGCGCUGGAUAGAGAGAGAACAGAGUGCUCCAAGUGAAAGUAACGGAAUAGAUGUUCACUGCUCCUCUCUUUCCUUAAUCCCCAUGUUUAUGGGUUCAGCCCUCUCUGUAUGUAACCCCUCCCCCACUGUGUUAUCGCUGUGUAUCAUCACUGUGGCAUUUAGUUUAUUUAAUACCUUGCUCCUGCCCGUCCCUGCCUGACUGGCUGUAAAUAUGGUAACUGGCACACUGACCAAACUGCAGCUAAAGCCACUUCUUGAAAUUGUCUGUGUCCCUAUUCUUUAUUUAGUGCACUGCUUUUUACCAGAGCACACUAUUCCCUAUUUAGUGCACUGCUUUUUACCAGAGCCCUCUGGCACCCUAUUCCCUAUUUAGUGUCCUGCAUUUUACCAGAGCCCUCUGGCACCCUAUUCCCUAUUUAGUGUCCUGCAUUUUACCAGAGCCCUCUGGCACCCUAUUCCCUAUUUAGUGUCCUGCAUUUUACCAGAGCCCUAUGGGAUUGCAAACAUGGUGACUGGCCCACUGUCGAGGCUUCAGCAACUUCCUGAAAUUGUACUUCUGUUUCCAUGUUGCAUUAUUGUCCUGGGAGGAAUUACAUUUCAGGAAGUUAUCUUUAAAAAAAAAAAAGUAUUACUUUCAUAACGUGGUUUUACCCGAGUGACUUUUUCAUUACCGCCCCUGCUAUUGACAUACAGCAGUUUUGUCGGUUUGUGUGUAUGUCUCCUGUUGUGUUAGUGUGCCACUACCCAACCACUGUAACAUGGCGUUAUUGUGCUGUUAAUAAACACUUCGUUUACUGCUUUAAUGACCACCGUCUGUUCUGUUCUUCAUUUGUAUUUACUGUUUCGUUUUUUUUGUUGCUGCCAUUUGAUAAAAUCAAUAAACCACUCCUGAUUUACUGUA
Oncorhynchus tshawytscha (Chinook salmon) is the source of this 4601-nucleotide long non-coding RNA. NCBI's taxonomy places the organism in Eukaryota, Metazoa, Chordata, Actinopteri, Salmoniformes, Salmonidae. The record is from Ensembl.